CCCAGGGGACGUGGAUAACCUCGGGAAACUGAGGAUAAACCGCGAUAGGCCAAGGUUUCUGGAAUGGACACUGGCUGAAACCUAUAUGGCCCCUGGAUUGGACUGCGGCCGAUCAGGCUGUUGGUGAGGUAAUGGCCCACCAAACCUGUAACCGGUACGGGCUUUGAGAGAAGGAGCCCGGAGAUGGGCACUGAGACAAGGGCCCAGGCCCUAUGGGGCGCAGCAGGCGCGAAAAUUCUGCAAUAGGCGAAAGCUUGACAGAGUUACUCUGAGUGAUGCCCGCUAAGGGCAUCUUUUGGCACCUCUAAAAAUGGUGCAGAAUAAGGGGUGGGCAAGUCUGGUGUCAGCCGCCGCGGUAAUACCAGCACCCCGAGUGGUCGGGACGAUUAUUGGGCCUAAAGCAUCCGUAGCUUGUUCUGCAAGUCUUCCGUUAAAUCCACCUGCUCAACAGAUGGGCUGCGGGAGAUACUACAGGGCUAGGAGGCGGGAGAGGCAAGCGGUACUCAGUGGGUAGGGGUAAAAUCCUCUGAUCCACUGAAGACCACCAGUGGCGAAGGCGGCUUGCCAGAACGCGCUCGACGGUGAGGGAUGAAAGCUGGGGGAGCAAACCGGAUUAGAUACCCGGGUAGUCCCAGCUGUAAAC
This 643-nucleotide ribosomal RNA is filed under the name uncultured Nitrososphaerota archaeon. Its description in RNAcentral is "bacterial SSU rRNA". It matches the Rfam family "Archaeal small subunit ribosomal RNA", at positions 112 to 758 of the family's 1478-position model. Lineage: Archaea; Thermoproteati; Nitrososphaerota. The record is from RNAcentral.